AAUUGUAUUGAGUUUUCACCUAGCUAUGAUAGCCUGAUUUCUUUAAAAGAUUCAUAUUUUUCUUUUUAAAUGUGAUUAAGAAAUAUGUGGGAUAUAAAUCAUGCUGAUGCUUCUGUAGCUCAGCACAGCAAUUUAUUAGUACUUAAGAAUGUUCUGGGGUGCUUUGCUUUAUUCAUUCAGUCAACAAAUACUUAAUGAAACACUCAUUUCAGUGCCGGGUACUGAUGUAGUCACUAGGGAUACAGUGGUGAACAAAAGACAAAGAGAUCCUAAUGGGAAAAUAAAAGUAAACAAAGAGAUGGUCUGCUGUUUCAUAGUAAUAUAUAUUACGAAGAAAAAUAAACCUGGAUAAGGGCGAGAUUAAUGGGGAAUGCUCUCCUAGAAAAGGGGGUCAGAGAAAGAAUCUCUGAGGAAGUGAUGUUUAGGUAAGGAUCUGGAUGAAGUAAGAUGCAGCCAGAACAAAGGCCCUGAGGUGGGAGUGUACUCGAUGCAUUCAAGAAACAGCAAGAAGGGGUGUGUGUGUGUGUGUGUGUGUGUGUGUGUGUGUGUGUGUGUGUGUGUCUGUGUGUGUAUAGAAAUAUAUCUUGUAUACUUGUAUAUAUUACAGAUGUAUAAAGUGUAAAUCUUUAAUGUGAGAGGUUUUUGUAUGUGUUCUUGAACUCAUUAUCUUACUAACAAAGCUUUUGCUUUAAUAUUGAAUUUUAAUAUUCUAGUCCUCUGUAGAACUCAGAAUCACUGACUUUCUAGACUUAAUGUUUAGAUCAUUAAGAACCUCAUUUUUCUACCUUAAAAAGAUGGGAUUCCUGCUUAUGGAGACAAAUUACAUGGCUUUAUUUACAAUAGCACAGUUACUUAUUCUUAAGAAAAAUAUUAUCUCUGGAAUGUCACUGAAGUAUGUAGUCAUUUAUAGUCCUAUUCCCAACUUCUUUGGGCAUUCAUUUUUUUUCCCACCAAAAUAAAGUAGAACCACUAGAUUCAAUAGGCAAAGUGAACAUUAUAUGUAGUCAUAACCACCUCUCAUAAUCUCAUACAUCUAUAAAUUACAGUGCAUACUAAAAUUUAGGGUGAGGUUCUAAUCACUUGAAGUCAAAAUAACUUGGCUACAACAUAGCCAAACAACUUUCAAUUUACAAUUCUAUACAGUUAAUUGUGCACGUUUAAUUUUUUUAUCAUUUUUCCAUUUUCUUUUCUGUUUUUCAAGUCUACAAUUUAGUGGUUUCAGUGUUGUGCAAGCUUCACUGCAAUCAAUUUUUAUACAGCUUUGUCACCCCAAAGACAAACCCUAACUGCUUGAAUUUGGUUCUCCUCUUUCCAGACUAUAUGGGCUAUUCUGGGUCCCUUGAAUUUUCUUAUGAAUUUUAGGAUCAUUUUGUCAAUUUCUCCAAAGAAGCCAGCUGGGAUUUUCAUAAACAAUGCAUUGAAUCUAUAGAUUUAUCUAGAGUGUUGCCAUCCUGACUUUAUAUAUUAAGUCUUUCAAUCUAUGCAUUUAGGAUAUCUUUCUAUGGAUUGGGUCUUUUAAAGUUUCAACAGUGAUUUGUAGUUUUCAGAGUAGUAUAAGUUUUGCCCUUUUGUUUUAUUCAUUCCUAAGUAUUUCAUUCUUUUGGAUGCUAUUGUAAAUAGACUUUUUUCUUAAUUUUAUUUUUAGUUUGUUCAUUGCUAAUACGUAGACAUACAAUUGAUUUUUCUAUUUACAUUCAAUUUUGAGACUUACUGAGCUAAAGAAAAGCAAAUGAAAGUUAUGUAUAGCCAUACUUUGACAUUCAAACCAUUCAACUUUUGAGGUAACUACAUCUGGAUUAAAUUUAAUUCAAAGAUCUCGGUUAUAAACAUCUCUACCACCACCUCUUCUGUAAUCUGAGUAAACUUGGCUAUCGGGGAUCUUUCUAGCCGCCUACCUCCAGUUUGUUGCCCAGUAGAUUACUAUAUAAUUUUUUUUCUUAAUUUUAGGCAUCCAAUACAUUAAUGAAUUAUGUCACCUUUUCAUAUGGGAAUAUGAGAACAGAUAUACUUCUUUUCCAGUCAAAGAAAGAUUUAUAUUCUAUGAAGAA
Long non-coding RNA from Sapajus apella (tufted capuchin), 2048 nucleotides. RefSeq lists it as uncharacterized. NCBI's taxonomy places the organism in Eukaryota, Metazoa, Chordata, Mammalia, Primates, Cebidae. The record is from RefSeq and is a predicted model, not a curated record. The transcript is spliced from 2 exons.